RNAcentral lists this long non-coding RNA (771 nucleotides) under Bos indicus x Bos taurus (hybrid cattle). RNAcentral describes it as "lncRNA (ENSBIXG00005031622.1)". The record is from RNAcentral. Lineage: Eukaryota; Metazoa; Chordata; Mammalia; Artiodactyla; Bovidae.
GUUCCCUUGGAAUGCCAGAUGACCUCUGCCCUUGACUUUUCAUGGGGGCAGAUGUUUCUUUAUCACAGCUGCUGGUAAGUAUGGUAUUAGAGGGUGUGUAGCUCAUUUCACAACAUGCCAACCCCACCAGGGCACCUUGAAGCUGAAGAUUCUUAGGACUUACAUAUGAGCCACCUGUCCACGGAAGACACAGACGGAAAUUGUAUCAGUAAUUAAUUCACAGCCAAUGUGCCACUUUUUCUGCAAACUAACCCCCAACCUUCAAGAAGCCAUUGAUAACAACAGAAAGUAGGAAACUCAGUCUUUCUGGUGAAUUCACUCUGGUGUCGCUCUCUUGCUCUACUGCUUGUGCUGUAUCCAUCAGAAGAGAGGAGAUUCCAAGACCUGGAGCACAGCCAGAGGACUGCAAUCAUGGUUUCUUCAGAUGCACACUUAAGGAAAACUUCUCAACUCUUCUCCAAGAAUCCCCUGCCUCCAUCCCUAGAGAAUCAUGGCUUCAAAAUGAAACAUAAAACAAAGUUUUGAGCUGACUUUGGUCGAAAUCUCAAAUACUAUAAACUGUACAGUACUGUCUGCAGGUGGACCACAUUGUAGGGGAAAUAACGUGAUUCAAGCCAGCCACCUGCCCCUGCUUUCCAGGAUUCUACCACUCAGCUCUGAUCAAGCUAGCAUCCCUCCUCCUGUCACCAGCAAAGCCCAUGAAACAUUUCCAAGAAUUAAAAAUAGAAUCUGGGUAAUAAAAUAAAAGUCUAACCUUUUUUUCCUUUGUGC